This 744-nucleotide long non-coding RNA is filed under the name Ananas comosus (pineapple). RNAcentral's name for it is "long non-coding RNA (ACOM_LNC024836)". Lineage: Eukaryota; Viridiplantae; Streptophyta; Magnoliopsida; Poales; Bromeliaceae. The record is from RNAcentral.
GUUAACUAGUGUAGGAACCUGCACGAUGCGACGGAUAUAAUCAUAUUUGAUUAAAUUUAAUAAUAUAAAAAAUACUUUAAAACUUUUAGAAUAAAAUUAUAAUUUAAUAAAAAAUAACGAAAGAUAAAAAAAAUUAUAAGAGAAAAAAAUGUGUUACAUAAAAAUCGGACUCCUUUGUAUCCUCAUUUAGAGCAUUCUCUACUAAUACCGAUACUUUCGUGAAAUAUCAUAGCGCCUUCAACCCUUUUUCGGCAAGUCCUAUACAUUACAAAUAUAAGUGGUCGACAUCGAGGGAGAAAGGUUCGAGGCUAGGGUUAGAGUUCGACUCACUCGACGUUGACGGUGAGAGCGAGGGCGGUGCGCUUGCGGGCUUGAGGGGAGCAGACGUAGUAGGCGAGGUCGUUGUCGAGAACGCCAUUUGCCGUGCCCACAGACUUCUCAGGCAACGAUUCUUAGAAAAUAGAAACUAAUGAGAGGGAAGUCGAAGUAGCGACGUUACAAAUAAGGAAUUAUGAGAUGGGAAGUCGAAGAUACAUACGUUAUGAAAAAAAAUUAAUAAGAUGGGAAGCUGAAGAGAUAGACGUUACAGAAAAGGAAAGCCGAAGGGACCGCUUAGCCAUUUGGUUCAAAAAAGGGACAAGUAAGGAUGAAAGAUAGGCUGCCACGUAGUAAGAUUAGGGGAAAUAAUGUUAAGGUAUAGAUGUUUCUAAAUCAAACUCCAAUUCGAUAGUUAUCAAUCUAAAG